Molecule: small RNA, 2681 nt
Filed under: Pan troglodytes (chimpanzee)
Lineage: Eukaryota; Metazoa; Chordata; Mammalia; Primates; Hominidae
Description: processed transcript
Source: RNAcentral
CCGUUAGGCGCCGCGCGGUGCUAGCUGCCGGCGCUCCCCUCCGUUUGCACCCACGCCCGCCCUAUUGCGGCUGGCACUACGCUUCUGCCAGGACCCCGGCUCCCUUUUCCGUUGACCUGGUGUUCGUUUUCCAUGUGUUGCUGAGAGGUGGAUGUUAAAAAUCAACACCAGGACUACAGUAAGGCUGAAAUCAUUGAAGUGCUUGGAGUGCAGAACUGAAAGAGAUGGAGUCUCGCUCUGUCACCCAGCCUGGAGUGCUGUGGUGCGAUCUUGGCUCACUGCAAGCUCCUCCUCCCGGAUUUAGGCCAUUCUCCUGCCUCAGCCUCCCGAGUAGCUGGGACUACAGGCGGCGCCUGCCACAACUCCCGGCUAAUUUUUUGCAUUUUUAGUAGAGAUGGGGUUUCACCGUGUUAGUCAGGAUGGUCUCAAUCUCCUGACCUCGUGAUCCGCCCGUCUCAGCCUCCCACAGUGCUGGGAUUACAGGCGUGAGCCACCGCGCCCGGCCGAUUUAUGCCCAUCUUUAUUUCUUUUUUUUGACUUUUGGUUUAGCAUAUAGCAUGUUUAUUAUUCUUGUUUAAGCCUUUCCUCAUUUUUAAAAAUUGUGGCAAAGUAUACAUGUAACAUAAAAUUUACCAUCUUAACUAUUUGAGCAUACAGCUCAGCAGCAUUAAGUAUAUUCCCAUUUUUGUACAACCAACAUCCACAACUUUUUCAUCCUGUAAAUGUGAAACUAUAUCCAUCAAAUAAUAACUACCCUUUUCCCCCUGCCCCCAGCCCCUGGCAACCACGACAAGAAACCUACAAACUCUCACUACAAGCGUUAAUAGCCUAAAAGUGGGAGACCAGUAAUACUUUCUGAUUUUAUGAGGUGGACUACUCUAGAUACUUCAUAUGAGUGGAAUCAUAAGUAGUUAUCUUUUUGUGAUUGGCUUGUUAGAAUAUCCUCAAGGUUCAGCCACAUUGUAGCAUAUGUCAAAAUUUCCUUCCAAGGCUGAAUAAUAUUACAUUGUAUGUAUAUGCCACAUGUAUUAGUCUGUUUUGUGUUGCUAUAAAGGAACACCUGAGGCUGGGUAAUUUAUAAAGAAAAAUGGUUUAUUUAGCUUAUGGUUCUAUAGGCUGUACAAGAAGCAUAGUGCCAGCAUCUGCUUCUGGUGAGGCCUCAGGAAGCUUACAAUUAUGGCAGAAGGCAAAGGGAGAGCUAGCAUAUCACAUGGCAAGAGGGAACAAAAGGGGGAGGGAGGAGGUGCCAGGCUCUUUUAAACAACUAGCUAUAGGGUGAACUCAUAUCCACGUGGAGGACACCAAGCCAUUCAUGAGAUCCACCCCAUAAUCCAACACCUCCCACUAGGCGCCACCUCCAACAUUGGGGGUCACAUGUCCGUGUGAGAUUUUGAGGGAACAAAUAUCCAAAUCAUAUUACCACAUUUUGUUUAUCCAUUCAUCCACUGAUGAACAUCUGGGUUGUACGUAUUUCUUGGUUAUUGUGAAUAAUGCUGCUAUUAAUUUCUCCUUUUUUUAUUUAAGUACUUAACAUUCCUCUCAACUCUGCUUUAGCUGUAUCCUUCCAAUUUUGAUAUGCUGUGUUGUCACUUUUUCAUAUUUCAAAACAUUUUCCCCUUAUUUAUUCAAUGAUCUGUAGAUUUAGAAGUGUGUUAUUUAAUUUCCAUGUAUUGAAGGACUGUAUAGGUUUCUUAUUACUGGUUUCUAAUGCUCAUUCCCUGUAACGUGGCAAUCUUUUGAAGUUUAUUGUGACUUAUGGUCCAGCUAUAGUCUAUCGUGGGGACUAUUCAGGUACAUGAAAAGAAUGUAAUUUUUCAAUUGUGGGUAUGGUGUUCUGUAAACAACAAUUAGGUCAUGUUGACUGGUGUGGUUCAUAUCUUCUAUACAGUUGUCCCUUGCUAUCCACAGGGGACUGGUUCCAGGACACCUUGUGGAUACCAAAACCUAUAGAUGCCCAAGUUUGUUAUAUAAAAUGGUGUAGUAGUUGCAUAUAACCUAUGCACAACCUUCUGUAUACUUUAAACCAUCUCUAGAUUUUUUAUAAUACCUAAUACAAUGUAAAUGCUAUGUAAAUAAUUUUAUACUGUAUUUUAAAAUUUGUAUUUUUUUACUGUCAUUGUGUUUUUUCUGAAUAUUUGUGCAUUGCUAUUGGUUGAAUCUGCAUAUAUGAAGAGCUGAUUACAUAUACUACUGAAUUUCUUGCCUACAAGUGCUAUCAAUUACUGAGAUAUAAUUGUGGAUUUCCAAUUAUGCUUGUGGAUCUAUUUCUUUUGUUCUGUUAGUUUUUGCUUCAUAAAAUUUAACACUCUCAUUAUAGGUUCAUACUAGCAUACAUAUUCCUGAUGAACACAUACAGUCAUGUGUCAUGUAAUAACAUUUUACUCAAUGAUGGACACAUAUACAAUGGUGGUCCCAUAAGAUUACAAUGGAGCUGAAAAAUUCCUAUCACUUGUGGACGUUGUCAUGCAACAUAUCACUCAGGUGUUUGUGGUGACGCUGGUGUAAAUAAACCUACUGUGCUUCCAGUUGUAUAAAAGUAUAGCACAUGCAAUUAUGUAUAGUACGUGAUAGGUGAUAAUAAUAAGUGAUUACAUUACUAGUUUAUGUAAUUUAUUGUACUAUUUGUAUUAUUAUUUUAGACUGUACUCCUUCUACUUAUUAAAAAAAAAAAAAGUAACUGU